Molecule: long non-coding RNA, 132 nt
Organism: Amblyraja radiata (thorny skate)
Lineage: Eukaryota; Metazoa; Chordata; Chondrichthyes; Rajiformes; Rajidae
Exons: 3
Source: RefSeq, a predicted model, not a curated record
UCUUUGCUUCCUUUAUUCAUAAAUUCUGGGAGCAGAUUUAGGACAUUUGGCCCAUCAAAUCUACUCCGCCAUUAAAUCAUGGCUGAUCUAUCUUUCCCUGUCAACCCCAUCCUCCUGCCUCUGCCCCAUUAA